AUACGGAGGGGGCUAGCGUUGUUCGGAAUUACUGGGCGUAAAGCGUACGUAGGCGGACUGAUCAGUUGGGGGUGAAAUCCCAGGGCUUAACCCUGGAACUGCCUUCAAUACUGUCAGUCUUGAGUUUGCGAGAGGUGAGUGGAAUUCCUAGUGUAGAGGUGAAAUUCAUAGAUAUUAGGAGGAACACCAGUGGCGAAGGCGGCUCACUGGCCCAUUACUGACGCUGAGGUACGAAAGCGUGGGGAGCAAACAGAAUUAGAAACCCUAGUAGUCC
This 274-nucleotide ribosomal RNA is filed under the name uncultured bacterium. RNAcentral's name for it is "partial 16S ribosomal RNA". It matches the Rfam family "Bacterial small subunit ribosomal RNA", at positions 523 to 796 of the family's 1533-position model. The record is from RNAcentral.